GGACUUAUUCGAGUAGCUUGCUAUUUGGAUAAGUUAGCGGCGGACGGGUGAGUAACACGUGGGUAAUCUGCCUCGUAGACUGGGAUAACAGGCCGAAAGGUUUGCUAAUACCGGAUGAGUUCAUGUUAUUGCAUAGUGACAUGAAGAAAGGGGAAACCCGCUAUGAGAUGAGCCCGCGCCCCAUUAGCUAGUUGGUAGGGUAAAAGCCUACCAAGGCGACGAUGGGUAGCCGGCCUGAGAGGGUGGACGGCCACACUGGGACUGAGACACGGCCCAGACUCCUACGGGGGGCAGCAGUAGGGAAUUUUCGGCAAUGGGCGAAAGCCUGACCGAGCGACGCCGCGUGAGGGACGAAGGCCUUCGGGUUGUAAACCUCUGUCUGGGGG
Molecule: ribosomal RNA, 386 nt
Filed under: uncultured bacterium
Lineage: Bacteria
Description: bacterial SSU rRNA
Rfam family: Bacterial small subunit ribosomal RNA
Source: RNAcentral